Molecule: ribosomal RNA, 487 nt
Filed under: uncultured bacterium
Lineage: Bacteria
Description: bacterial SSU rRNA
Rfam family: Bacterial small subunit ribosomal RNA
Source: RNAcentral
CUACGUGCCAGCAGCCGCGGUAAUACGUAGGUCCCGAGCGUUGUCCGGAUUUAUUGGGCGUAAAGCGAGCGCAGGCGGUUAGAUAAGUCUGAAGUUAAAGGCUGUGGCUUAACCAUAGUACGCUUUGGAAACUGUUUAACUUGAGUGCAAGAGGGGAGAGUGGAAUUCCAUGUGUAGCGGUGAAGUGCGUAGAUAUAUGGAGGAACACCGGUGGCGAAAGCGGCUCUCUGGCUUGUAACUGACGCUGAGGCUCGAAAGCGUGGGGAGCAAACAGGAUUAGAUACCCUGGUAGUCCACGCCGUAAACGAUGAGUGCUAGGUGUUAGACCCUUUCCGGGGUUUAGUGCCGUAGCUAACGCAUUAAGCACUCCGCCUGGGGAGUACGACCGCAAGGUUGAAACUCAAAGGAAUUGACGGGGGCCCGCACAAGCGGUGGAGCAUGUGGUUUAAUUCGACGCAACGCGAAGAACCUUACCAGGUCUUGACAU